UUAUUGGUGUAUAGGAAAAGUAUUGAUUUUUUUUAUGUUGAUUUUAUGUCCUGCUUCUUACUAUUUGCUAUGUGUUUAGCAGCAUUUACAAAUGCACACAUAUACAUAGUUAUUUUUUUUUAAUAUUUAUUUAUUUUUUAGUUUUCGGCGCACAACAUCUUUGUUUGUAUGUGGUGCUGAGGAUCGAACCUGGGCCGCACGCAUGCCAGGCGAUUGCGCUACCGCUUGAGCCACAUCCCCAGCCCCACAUAGUUAUAUUUUUUAAUAAAAGUUAUAUUGUACAAAUUAUUUGAACUUGUUUUACCUCCAAGUUUUGUUUAUUGGGGUCAAAUUUACAUAAAAUUCAUCCUUCGUAAGUAUGGGGUUUGGUGAGUUUUGAUGAAUAUAUAUAGUCAUAUAACUGACCUUACAAUUAGGAUUUCCUUCACCCCAAGAGGUUUUCUCAUGCUGCCUAUAAAGUAGUCACCAUCUCAUCUUUCCAAAUCCCUUAUCUCUUUUCUGGCCCCAUAGUUUUUGACUUUUCUAGUAGGUUAUAAAUGGAAUCAAACAGUAUGUAACCUUAUUCAUAACCACAGUAAAUGUAAAGGGAUUAAGUACUUGAUUUAAAGAGUAGGGACUGACAGAAUGGAUUCAUUUAUUUUUUAUAUGGUGAUGAGGAUUGAACUCAGGGCCUCACAUGUGCUAGGCAAGUGCUCUGCCACUGAGCCACAGCCCCAGACUGGCAGAAUGGAUUUUUUCAAAAAACAGUUUCUCUGUCUCAGAGUUAUGUUUGCAGCCCUUUUAAAUUUUAAGACAGAGUCUCAAAGUUGCCCAGGCUGGCCUUGAACUUGUGAUCCUUUUGUCUAAGCCUCCUGAAAGCUGAGAUUACAGUGUGCAUCACAAUAUCAGCAGGCAGAAUGGAUUUUUUAAAACCAUGGUUUAACUAGCUGUUUGUAAGACAUAGUUUAUAUUUAGAAAUCCAAAGAGGCUGAAACUAAAAGGACGGAACAGGAUCUACCACAUAAACGGUAACUAGAAGCAACCUGGAGAGUCUGUACUAAUAGUCAAAAUAGACUAGAAAGCCAAAGUUGUUACUAGAAACAAGAUGACUUUUGAUAAUGAUCGAAAAGGUCAGUCCUCAAGAAGAUGUAACACCUGCUUUGCAUAACAAAGCCUCAAGAUACAUG
RNAcentral lists this long non-coding RNA (1166 nucleotides) under Marmota monax (woodchuck). Lineage: Eukaryota; Metazoa; Chordata; Mammalia; Rodentia; Sciuridae. The record is from RNAcentral.